CGUGCCUAAUACAUGCAAGUCGAACGGUCUUUCUAUGGAAGCUUGCUUCCACUGAGAAGAUAGUGGCGAACGGGUGAGUAACACGUGGGUAACCUGCCCAUAAGAGGGGGAUAACAUCCGGAAACGGGUGCUAAUACCGCAUAGUUUUCUUGAUCGCAUGAUUGAGAAAGGAAAGACGGCCUUUGUGCUGUCGCUUAUGGAUGGACCCGCGGCGUAUUAGUUAGUUGGUGAGGUAACGGCUCACCAAGACGAUGAUACGUAGCCGACCUGAGAGGGUGAUCGGCCACAUUGGGACUGAGACACGGCCCAAACUCCUACGGGAGGCAGCAGUAGGGAAUCUUCCGCAAUGGACGAAAGUCUGACGGAGCAACGCCGCGUGAGUGAAGGUAAAGGGUUUUCGGAUCGUAAAACUCUGUUGUCAGAGAAGGACAAGUUGGAGAGUAACUGCUCCAGCCUUGACGGUAUCUGACCAGAAAGCCACGGCUAACUACGUGCCAGCCGCAGC
This 505-nucleotide ribosomal RNA is filed under the name uncultured bacterium. RNAcentral describes it as "bacterial SSU rRNA". It matches the Rfam family "Bacterial small subunit ribosomal RNA", at positions 43 to 518 of the family's 1533-position model. The record is from RNAcentral.